AUGAUCAAUAAAGUACAGGCUUAUAUCGCCAGGAUUACAUUGACGACGACUACACCCAGUGGGGCGGGUGUAUACACUUUGGUGCCCCGGCGACACGACGAUGAUAUCGAACUGUUGACACGUGAGGGGUCAGGUGAUGAUAUCGAACUGUUGACGUUGCCGUGCGUGGAGGAGAGCACCGCCAGCCGAUGGCGAGCCAUGGCGAACCGUCACCCGAUGAUAUCAGAGAGACCGGCAUACAAGGCAAAGCCUCGCACUUCCACUGGCGCAGGAGGGCGAUAUCGGUCUGCUAACGAGUACCUUUCGACGUCGGACAUAUCGGUGUUUCAGUUCUGCCGCAAUGCCCUACAGCAUGAGCUCAGUCAACAUUAUGACGACAGAAUUUCGAUCGACCUCAGUAUCAUACGCCAUUGGGAUCAACUAUCGUGGUGGUGCACUGUGUACGGAGGCCUAGAUUCCACCGUGGGAAUUUCCGAGCAAUGGGACGAACGGCUAUGGCAGGGUGAUUCCUCUGAGGGAAUUCCCAUGGAGGAGGAAGACUCACGCGAUUGCAGAGAGCAGAUAUCCAAAGUUUCAAACGACGAAUUCUUUGGAACAGACGAGGACUCAUGUCUUGAUCAGAGCAGUGUAUGUUCCGACAGCCACACCAACGCGCAAUGCAGUUCAACAAUGACGGCUUUAACGAGGUCGGCAGAAUUUUUGUUGCAUCGACCCAUGGAGAACAGUACCCUGGCAUCAUCGACAAUGCAGACCCAGCUUGGUGGCAACAGUGACAACGAUUCACCCGAUUGGAUAGAGCGAACAUUCAAAGAUUCGACCAACAAAAUCUUUAGAAAAGACGAAGACUCAUGUCCUGGUCAGAACAUUGUGUGUUCUGAUAGCAAUAUCGUCACGCAUUGCAGCGCGACAAUGACGACUUGGAACAGUACCAUGGUGUCAUCGUCAACACAGCUUGGUGGCAGCAGCGAUGACUUGACUAGCUCGGCCGUAGAGCAACCGAGUAGCAACAACGACGACAUUGUCGAUUCUGAUAGCAUGAAUAGCUCGAUUACAACGGAACAUAGUGAUGUAUCCGACGAGCAAGCAACCGAGACGUCUACUGAAGUUGAUGAGACAAGUAGUACACCAUGGUGGCUAGUACCAGGAUUCAGAUUUCGCCCCACGGACAAGGAGAUCGUGCUCCACUAUCUCAAGCCCAAAGUCCUGAAUCUGGCGCUUCCAAGAAGAAUAGAAGAGCUGGUCAAUAUUUAUGCUCUGGACGCAGAUGACAAAAGACUUGACGAAGAAGACGGAGACAAAGAGCGACUGGGGUUCUUCUUCGUGCACAAGCAAGACAUGGCGUACAGCAACGGGUGCUACUACACCACCCCGGCCGGGUACUGGAGGAUCCGCGGCCGGCCGUCCCGCGUGAGGGAGGGCCGCCGCACCGUCGCCUUCAAGACGUCCAUGGACUUCUACCGCGGCAGGCUGCUGCACGGGCGCAGGACCCCGUGGAGCAUGUUCGAGUACAAGCUCAACGCAGACCGUGGCGACCUCAGGAACCUCGCGCAGCCAGAGGUACGCAUGUGA
Molecule: ribosomal RNA, 1569 nt
Filed under: Triticum aestivum (bread wheat)
Lineage: Eukaryota; Viridiplantae; Streptophyta; Magnoliopsida; Poales; Poaceae
Description: partial small subunit ribosomal RNA
Source: RNAcentral